AAAUUGAAGAGUUUGAUCAUGGCUCAGAUUGAACGCUGGCGGCAGGCCUAACACAUGCAAGUCGAACGGUAACAGGAAGCAGCUUGCUGCUUUGCUGACGAGUGGCGGACGGGUGAGUAAUGUCUGGGAAACUGCCYGAUGGAGGGGGAUAACUACUGGAAACGGUGGCUAAUACCGCAUAACGUCGCAAGACCAAAGAGGGGGACCUUCGGGCCUCUUGCCAUCAGAUGUGCCCAGAUGGGAUUAGCUUGUUGGUGAGGUAACGGCUCACCAAGGCGACGAUCCCUAGCUGGUCUGAGAGGAUGACCAGCCACACUGGAACUGAGACACGGUCCAGACUCCUACGGGAGGCAGCAGUGGGGAAUAUUGCAUGCA
This 375-nucleotide ribosomal RNA is filed under the name Salmonella enterica. RNAcentral describes it as "bacterial SSU rRNA". Lineage: Bacteria; Pseudomonadati; Pseudomonadota; Gammaproteobacteria; Enterobacterales; Enterobacteriaceae. The record is from RNAcentral.